AAGCGCACGCAGGCGGUCUGUCAAGUCGGAUGUGAAAUCCCCGGGCUCAACCUGGGAACUGCAUCCGAAACUGGCAGGCUAGAGUCUUGUAGAGGGGGGUAGAAUUCCAGGUGUAGCGGUGAAAUGCGUAGAGAUCUGGAGGAAUACCGGUGGCGAAGGCGGCCCCC
This 167-nucleotide ribosomal RNA is filed under the name Citrobacter freundii. RNAcentral describes it as "partial 16S ribosomal RNA". It matches the Rfam family "Bacterial small subunit ribosomal RNA", at positions 563 to 729 of the family's 1533-position model. Lineage: Bacteria; Pseudomonadati; Pseudomonadota; Gammaproteobacteria; Enterobacterales; Enterobacteriaceae. The record is from RNAcentral.